RNAcentral lists this ribosomal RNA (253 nucleotides) under uncultured bacterium. Its description in RNAcentral is "partial 16S ribosomal RNA". It matches the Rfam family "Bacterial small subunit ribosomal RNA", at positions 524 to 776 of the family's 1533-position model. The record is from RNAcentral.
UACAGAGGUCCCGAGCGUUGUUCGGAUUCACUGGGCGUAAAGGGUGCGUAGGUGGCUUUGCAAGUCUGAUGUGAAAUCUCCGGGCUUAACCCGGAAAUGGCAUUAGAAACUGUGAGGCUUGAGGCUUGGAGGGGGAACUGGAAUUCUCGGUGUAGCAGUGAAAUGCGUAGAGAUCGGGAGGAACACCUGUGGCGAAGGCGGCCCCCUGGUUGGAUACUGACGCUGAUACGCGAAAGCGUGGGGAGCAAACAGG